This 506-nucleotide ribosomal RNA is filed under the name uncultured bacterium. RNAcentral's name for it is "partial 16S ribosomal RNA". It matches the Rfam family "Bacterial small subunit ribosomal RNA", at positions 29 to 523 of the family's 1533-position model. The record is from RNAcentral.
AGUGAACGCUGGCGGUAGGCCUAACACAUGCAAGUCGAACGGCAGCACAGGAGAGCUUGCUCUCUGGGUGGCGAGUGGCGGACGGGUGAGGAAUACAUCGGAAUCUACUUUUUCGUGGGGGAUAACGUAGGGAAACUUACGCUAAUACCGCAUACGACCUACGGGUGAAAGCAGGGGAUCUUCGGACCUUGCGCGAUUGAAUGAGCCGAUGUCGGAUUAGCUAGUUGGCGGGGUAAAGGCCCACCAAGGCGACGAUCCGUAGCUGGUCUGAGAGGAUGAUCAGCCAGACUGGAACUGAGACACGGUCCAGACUCCUACGGGAGGCAGCAGUGGGGAAUAUUGGACGAUGGGCGCAAGCCUGAUCCAGCCAUACCGCGUGGGUGAAGAAGGCCUUCGUGUUGUAAAGCCCUUUUGUUGGGAAAGAAAUCCAGCUGGUUAAUACCCGGUUGGGAUGACGGUACCCAAAGAAUAAGCACCGGCUAACUUCGUGCCAGCCGCCGCAGUAA